Molecule: ribosomal RNA, 493 nt
Filed under: uncultured bacterium
Lineage: Bacteria
Description: partial 16S ribosomal RNA
Rfam family: Bacterial small subunit ribosomal RNA
Source: RNAcentral
GACGAACGCUGGCGGCGUGCUUAACACAUGCAAGUCGAACGGUGAAGGGACCGGUUUUUGCUGGUUCUGGAUGAGUGGCGAACGGGUGAGUAACACGUGAGUAACCUGCCCCCUUCUUCUGGAUAACCGCAUGAAAGUGUGGCUAAUACGGGAUAUUCUGCGCCUGCUGCAUGGUGGGUGUGGGAAAGAUAUUGUUUCGGUGGGGGAUGGGCUCGCGGCCUAUCAGCUUGUUGGUGGGGUGAUGGCCUACCAAGGCGGUGACGGGUAGCCGGCCUGAGAGGGUGGACGGUCACACUGGGACUGAGACACGGCCCAGACUCCUACGGGAGGCAGCAGUGGGGAAUAUUGCACAAUGGACGCAAGCCUGAUGCAGCGACGCCGCGUGAGGGAUGGAGGCCUUCGGGUUGUAAACCUCUUUCGCCAGUGAAGCAGGCCUGUCCCUUUUGUGGGUGGGUUGACGGUAGCUGGAUAAGAAGCGCCGGCUAACUACGUG